RNAcentral lists this ribosomal RNA (464 nucleotides) under uncultured bacterium. RNAcentral's name for it is "partial 16S ribosomal RNA". It matches the Rfam family "Bacterial small subunit ribosomal RNA", at positions 28 to 506 of the family's 1533-position model. The record is from RNAcentral.
GACGAACGCUGGCGGCGUGCUUAACACAUGCAAGUCGUACGGUAAGGCCCUUUCGGGGGUACACGAGUGGCGCACGGGUGAGUAACACGUGAGUAACCUGCCCACAACUUUGGGAUAACGCUAGGAAACUGGUGCUAAUACUGGAUAUGUGCUCCUGCUGCAUGGUGGGGGUUGGAAAGCUCCGGCGGUUGUGGAUGGACUCGCGGCCUAUCAGCUUGUUGGUGGGGUAGUGGCCUACCAAGGCGGCGACGGGUAGCCGGCCUGAGAGGGUGACCGGCCACAUUGGGACUGAGAUACGGCCCAGACUCCUACGGGAGGCAGCAGUGGGGAAUAUUGCACAAUGGGCGCAAGCCUGAUGCAGCAACGCCGCGUGCGGGAUGACGGCCUUCGGGUUGUAAACCGCUUUCAGCAGGGACGAAGCUUUUUGUGACGGUACCUGCAGAAGAAACACCGGCUAACUACGU